ACCUGACUGCUAUCGGAUUGAUACUAAGCCAUGCGAGUCAUUGUAGCAAUACAAGGCAUACGGCUCAGUAACGCGUAGUCAACCUAACCUAUGGACGGGAAUAACCUCGGGAAACUGAGAAUAAUGCCCGAUAGAACACUAUACCUGGAAUGGUUUGUGUUCCAAAUGAUUUAUCGCCAUAGGAUGGGACUGCGGCCUAUCAGUUUGUUGGUGAGGUAAUGGCCCACCAAGACUAUUACAGGUACGGGCUCUGAGAGGAGUAGCCCGGAGAUGGGUACUGAGACACGGACCCAGGCCCUAUGGGGCGCAGCAGGCGAGAAAACUUUGCAAUGUGCGAAAGCACGACAAGGUUAAUCCGAGUGAUUUCUGCUAAAGAGAUCUUUUGUUAGUCCUAGAAACACUAACGAAUAAGGGGUGGGCAAGUUCUGGUGUCAGCCGCCGCGGUAAAACCAGCACCUCAAGUGGUCAGGAUGAUUAUUGGGCCUAAAGCAUCCGUAGCCGGCUCUGUAAGUUUUCGGUUAAAUCUGUACGCUCAACGUACAGGCUGCCGGGAAUACUGCAGAACUAGGGAGUGGGAGAGGUAGACGGUACUCGGUAGGAAGUGGUAAAAUGCUUUGAUCUAUCGAUGACCACCUGUGGCGAAGGCGGUCUACCAGAACACGUCCGACGGUGAGGGAUGAAAGCUGGGGGAGCAAACCGGAUUAGAUACCCGGGUAGUCCCAGCUGUAAGCUAUGCAAACUCAGUGAUGCAUUGGCUUGUGGCCAAUGCAGUGCUGCAGGGAAGCCGUUAAGUUUGCCGCCUGGGAAGUACGUACGCAAGUAUGAAACUUAAAGGAAUUGGCGGGGGAGCACCACNAGGGGUGAAGCCUGCGGUUC
Molecule: ribosomal RNA, 876 nt
Filed under: uncultured crenarchaeote
Lineage: Archaea; Thermoproteati; Thermoproteota
Description: bacterial SSU rRNA
Rfam family: Archaeal small subunit ribosomal RNA
Source: RNAcentral